Lytechinus pictus (painted urchin) is the source of this 1698-nucleotide long non-coding RNA. RefSeq lists it as uncharacterized. The transcript is spliced from 3 exons. The record is from RefSeq and is a predicted model, not a curated record. NCBI's taxonomy places the organism in Eukaryota, Metazoa, Echinodermata, Echinoidea, Temnopleuroida, Toxopneustidae.
ACGUACCGGUAUUUCCAGUUCAGUGGGUUGUCUGCUGCUGCUUUCAAUGAGCAAUUCCGGACUGACUAAAAAUGCGUAAAUUAACUCAGUUAUUCAUAUUAUGGAAAAUUUUAUAUCUUUUUUUGCUAGGAUGUUGUUUUAAAGCUGAGGGUAAUUCAAAUGAUAAGCAGAGCUGUCACUUUGAUAUCGACAUACUACAAAGUCAUCAUGUUGGCAAUAGUCCCAUCAUUAGUUCACCGUUGGUAGCAGACAUUAAUGCUGAUGGCACUCUUGAUAUCAUUUCAACAACAUUUGAUGGGACUAUUGAUGUUGUUGACGGGGAGAACAUGAAACCACAUUCCAGAUCACAGUGGCCUUAUCAAUUCCCAAACAGCACAGUACACUCAAGCCCCAUGUUGUAUGAUGUCGAUAGUGAUGGCCUGCCAGAAGUUGUAGUGUUUACUACUGAUGGAGAGAUUAACUACUUCAAGAUAGAUGGGACAUUUCUUCCAGACAAAACAGUGCAGGUACAACCUUAAUUAUACUUUAAGUUUGAAAAAAAAAAAGGAAAAAAAAAAGAGUUCAAUUUUUAUGAAACCCCCAAAUAGAAAUUGGAACUGAUUUUCAAGUUUCAAACAUUCAGCCAAACAGAAGUAUGCAGUUGGGACCAGUGUUUAAUUGUAGUUGUUUGUGCAAUAGGCCCCUGGGCCCGUAUUCCAUAAACGAGAUAAGCUUUUUGCUUAAGUCUUAGCAAUUUGUCUUAGCAUUUUGCUUGUCUAAGAAAUCUUACCUAACGAUAUUCUAUAAACCUUAAGACAUUUGUCUCAAGUCAGACGAUAUGGCUAAGCCAAAGUCUCAAAUUCUAGUAUUAGGUACUGCUGCAGGGGUGACUGCAACAAACUUGCAAAAAUGUCACUGAAGUUGUUUUUUCUUAAAAAUUAGGAUUUUAUUGAAACUAAUUACAACAAUUGUAGUAAAAGAAGAGCAUUCAUCACCCAUAUAUGGUAAGAAUUUUUUAUUCAGAUUAUCUAUAUUUUUGUUAAUAACCAAAACAUUUCAAUCCCAAACCGAGUGACUUGAACAGUUUUUUGUGUAUCAGUCCCAUUUAUUACUUUUCAUGUAUUGUUUGUCAAAAUCUAAAUUGAAUAGAUUCCUCUCGACAUCUUUAUUUAACUUUAGUUUAAGUAGACCUAAGGGAAAACUUUUGUAACUUUUGAGACUAGUCUUGGGUCUCACAUUAGGCCUAGAUCUAGACUAGGCCCAAGAUCUAAAGCUAAUAUCCGUCUGUUUGGAGGAGAAUUGAACAUCGUUUUGACUUUUUUACUUUAAGGCUGAAGCAAAACUUAACUUUGUUAGUCUAGUGGCGUGCCAUUAAUUUUGGUUUUUUAAUAUGUUGUUACCAUGGCAACGUGAUAUUUUAUAUAGGCAUAAAAUAUGUUUUGCAUAUCUUCACAUCAAGACUAAUGUUUGUGCCACAUUUCAUGAGAAUUGGUUUAAAACUGAGGAAGUAGUUAAAACAGCAAUAUUUAUACAUAAUUUUGCCAUAAUAUACCGUUACCAUGGCAACACAAUUUCCGACACAUGCAAAAAUGUAUCUUGCACAUCUUUUCCUCAAAUCCAAUGUGUGAGCCAACUUUAAUGAGAAUUGGUAGAAAAAUGAUGAAGUAUUUUAAACGGCAAAAUUUUGGCCAUAAUAUACUGUUACCAUGGCAACACAAU